CAUGCCUUUUCCCAACCUGGCGUCUGCUAGUCUGCUCAUCAAAAGAAGCAAUCCAAUACGGGGGAUCACUUGCUUCAGGAAUCCACCACCUCACCUGCCAUGCCUGGCAGGUGAUAUAAAUGAGGACAGCAGUUCAGGCUUUCCCCCUUGGCAACUGGCUUCAUCAGAGCGUGAGAGCUGAAAAGGCAGUAGAGAGAGAGUCAGCAAGCAAGAUGGAGGUCACCAUCCUUUGUAACCCAACCAUGGAAGUGACAUCCCAUCAUCUCACAAAGCAUGUACAAAAUGGUUGAGAAAUACCCGGAUCAAAACAAAGAGGCCGUCUCCUUUGCGUACGGGAAGCGCGCAACAAUAACUAAAAUGGUUGCCAUUAAUAUUUUUUGAGGACUGGCUGCACAGCCUGCCUCCAGUCCCGCGGCUCUGCCCCCCUGAGUCCUCAGAACAACUGUGAGGUGGGUGUCAGUGGAUAUCCAUUUCACAGAGAAGAAACUGAGGCUCCCGGAGAUCGUGAGACUUGCUAACAACCCAGCCAGAUGGGGCUGGAGCAGGAGCUGACCCAUGUUUAUUUUCACUCCAAUAUCCUCUGCCAGAGCAUUUCCCGAACUUUAUUCCUUCAUGUAUAAACUGUCACAACUGCUGCCAAACCCAGGCCCACUUAUUCUACUCUCACAUACAGACACAUGGUAUUACCCUCUGUCCCGACAGUUGAUGGCCCAGGCUCUGGACCGGGACAGGGCUCAAUCCUGAGCUGCUCACACACCAGAUCACCCUGCACAAGCUGCUGACCCCCUCUGAACUGUAAAGUGGGGUGCAUGGGCUCAACUUGCUGGGUGACAGAGACACCCGGUGAGAUUGUGGGACUAAAUCACAGGGCACAUUGUAAGUGCCCCAUGAAUAUUUUACUGAAGGGACCCUCAAGGAACGGGAUCUGUCUUUACCAACUCUUCUCAACGCUGGAUCCAUGGUUAGCACAUUUCCAACAACAUCAUCAAUAUGAAGGAAUUCCUUAGUACUUUCCAUGACCUCCCCUAAAUUUGCAAUUAAGUAUUUGUUAAA
Nyctereutes procyonoides (raccoon dog) is the source of this 1053-nucleotide long non-coding RNA. RefSeq lists it as uncharacterized. The transcript has 3 exons. Lineage: Eukaryota; Metazoa; Chordata; Mammalia; Carnivora; Canidae. The record is from RefSeq and is a predicted model, not a curated record.